Molecule: RNA transcript, 3356 nt
Organism: Calidris pugnax (ruff)
Lineage: Eukaryota; Metazoa; Chordata; Aves; Charadriiformes; Scolopacidae
Gene name: KIAA1143 ortholog
Exons: 5
Source: RefSeq, a predicted model, not a curated record
CUUUUGUUUGUGUCCCACUCGGGCUGCCGUCCUCCGCCGGGGCCCGGAAGCGGGCGGGGGGAGGCUGAGGCGGUACCGGCAGCGCGGCUCGGUGGCGGGCAGCGGCCAUGAGCAAAAGGAACCAGGUCUCCUACGUGCGGCCGGCCGAGCCCGCCUUCCUCAGCCGCUUCAAGCGGCAGGUCGGGUAUCGGGAGGGGCCCACGGUGGAAACCAAGAGAGAGCAGCUUCCACUUGCAGAUGAUGAUAGUGAGAACGGCAGUGACAAGGAAGAUGAGCAGCCUCAAGUGGUAACAUUGAAAAAAGGGGACUUGACUGCUGAAGAAGCAAUGAAAAUUAAACAGCAGAUUAAAGAGGCCUUAAAGACAAAUGAAUCAGAUGGCGAACCAGAACCUGCUGAUGGGAAAAUUAUGUUCAGGAAGCCAGCCAAACGUUCCUCAGAGAAGUCUUUGGAUUUCAAUUGCUUCAGUACAUAAUCCUGUUAGGAAGCUGCAGAUUGAUAAUGAAGCAGGAAGUAGCAGUGUCAUCGCUUCAGCUGAUUGUUUCCCUUGCGCUGGAGUGUAUUAACUAAAUAAUGCUUCACUUGGCUGCCUGGAGCCAAUUGCAUUCUCAAGGACACGAGGCGUGCCUGAAGAUGAGUCAUUACCUUUGGUACAGCACAGGAGGUUAUUGCGGACUGAAUAUGCUCAAUGGUAUUAAUGGGAAGAACAGUUGCUGAAUUCCUCUGUGCUGGAUGGGCAUCUUGGGCUAAUUUAUUUUCUGACAUUACUCUAUUGCUCUCAAUGAAAUGACACCGAUGGAUACACAAGCUUCUUACUAGACCUACUAGAACAAGGUAGUCUGAGACAAACAGGUUUAAAUUCAAGAAGUGAAACAUCUUGCCACUGAAUCCCAUAGUCAACAACAUAUUUAAGUGAUGGGAGUGACUGACUCAGUGGUCAUUCUGCAGGAAGGGGUCUGUGACUGCUGUGAAUUAAAAACUGAAGACGGGCCUCGGUGUGAGGAAAGCCAAUGCAAUUUUGGCUCUAUAAAUAGUGUGUCACUGAGAAGAAAUGUGAAGUAGUCCUGCCCUACUUAUUCUCCGCUUCAGACUUUAGCUGGAGUAAUGUGUCUACUUUUGUGCACUAUACUUCAAAAAAGAAAAACGUAGACCGAUUGGAAAGUCCAGCAGAAAGUACUGCUAUUGAUCCAGAGUCUAGAAAACACGACCUGUGAGGAGAGAUUGAAAGAAGUGGGUUUAUACAUCUAGAGAACGGAGAUGCAGGGGAGGGAAUAAGAAUGUGAAACCAGUCUUCAGAUAUGUAAAGCUUGCUGCAAAGAGGAAAGUAAUAAAUUGUUCUCUGCUGGGAAUACAAAAAGAACUAAUGAUUUUAAAUUGCAGGAAAGGAGAUUUAAGGAAGACAUUAGGACAGGCUUUCUAGCUGUAACAGUAGUGAAGUGCUGAAACAGAUUGCCCGGGGAGGUUGUGGGAUCUUCAUUGCCAGACAUUUUUAAGAACAGGUUAGACAAACAUCUGUCAGGAAUGAUUUGGGUAUAAUUGAUCCUGCCUUAGGGCAGAGGGCUGGACUGGGUGACCUCAUAAGGUCCCUUCCAGCCCUAUUUUCUAUGGUUCUCUCGUUAGGAAGGCUGAUGUGAUAUUCCUAGGACCUUAUCAUUCCUUUUAAAAGCAAAAACAUGCUAUAGCAAUGCCAAGAGUCAGAUUUAAAGUGACAACAUCUGGGAAAAUUCAAAGCUUCAGGUUGAUAUCCCACCCUUAAUUACUAACACUUGAAUGCAUGCAACACAGUUGGACUUGUUCAAAGGCUAAACACUUGGAGGUCACACAACUGUCUUUUGUGACCAGACUGGGAUCUUUUAAUAGCAUAAGAAUUUGUUUCUUCUAAGGUGUAUUAAUCUUAUAUAUUGCAACUUCCAUUUUGUCAUUUAAGUAGCAGGCAUUGGUCUUUCUCAUCUAACAUGUGCCAGGUGGGGUCACUCUCAUUUCACAUGCCAUAGCCAGUUUGGCCACACGCUCUGCUUCCACUCACUUGCUCCAAAGCUUGUUCUUCCACUCCAGUUCAUCAUGACACCGGUGCUCAGCUUUAUUACAUGGCUGUGUUUAAUUCACUAAUACCGCUGUUAAGGCUCUUGGUACACUCCUCUCUGUUCUCAGACACUGGAUAUUCCUCCUGCUGCUUUCUGCUGACAUGUUCUUUUAUUCCUGUUGAUAAAUUUCAUUUUCAUCUGUCUUUUGCUGCUUUCCCUUCAAGCUGUGCUUGUGUUACAAACUGCGGUUCAGCAGUUUAACAAUUGGAUUGCGUCCAAAUAUUACCAAAUGCCACAUCUUUUAAUAUCAGGCAGAGCAGCUUGAAUUUUCUUCCUCAGAGCGCUGUCAAAGACACACUGGCGUGUUUUCUGUGCAAAUGCCAAAAUAAAAAAAAGAAGUUUAACAAAAGAUGAGGGGUGUGAAGCAAGCUGAAAUGUCUGCAUUCCCAGAAUUUUGUAUUUUUGCUGAUUUCAGAUUUUAGUUCAUGACCCAGCUGCUGAUUUAUGCAACUCCGUGGAACUAUGCCAGUUUCGAGCAGCCAAGAAUUUGGCACUGUCACUUUUGUGACUGUUGGUACCUCAGCGUUCAGUGAUGUGACUCUGUGUGUUUUUUUCCCCAAAGGUCAUGCCUGUCCAUUGGUGAUUGCAGUAUUGCAAUCCUAUGUCAAGUGGAAUUAUAAUAUAUAUACAUGAAGUUAUAAGUGGGGUUAUAAUAUAUAGAGAGACACACGUAUAUAUAUGUAUGUAUGUGUUACAUAUUUGGUUUGAGUUUGGCCCUUCAGGUUUUAUGGUUGCAGAGCUUUUCUCUACGGCUACAUGGAGAAUAGAAACUAAAGUAAAAAUAGAGACAAACCCAGAAUAAAACUGUGUUUUUCACAUAAUCACAGAAUGCUUCCAGAAGCUGAGACUUGAAAAAAUUCAACAUAUACCAUGAAAUUUGGUAACAUUAUGACUGGAUACUUGGCCGUUAAAUUGUUUUACUGCAUCCAGCAGAGAAGGAUGCUAUCUGUUGUUUUUCAUAAUGGUGAAAUGCUCAUCAGGGUGCUGUAAGACACCCUUUGCCCUGUGUAUAUUUGGCAUUUCCUUGUUACAGACUGACCAUAUUCACUGAAGCUGUGGGUAUUGCAUGAGGUCUGCCACAGAGGAGGACUCCUGUUCAUUGCUGGGGGCCUUGGAUGAGAGUCAAGAGUAGCUUUUGCCAUGGUUGCUCAUCUGUUUCACUCCAGGCUUGCCUUUCAUGUGUUUUGGAGAUAGAUGGACAAACGACACAGAUAUUCUGGAUCAUCCAGAUCAUGGCUGCCUUCCUUGUCUGUAUUGUACAUUCUUUGUGUGUA